GAUGAACGCUGGCGGCGUGCCUAAUACAUGCAAGUCGAGCGAACGGACGAGAAGCUUGCUUUUCUGAUGUUAGCGGCGGACGGGUGAGUAACACGUGGAUAACCUACCUAUAAGACUGGGAUAACUUCGGGAAACCGGAGCUAAUACCGGAUAAUAUUUUGAACCGCAUGGUUCAAAAGUGAAAGACGGUCUUGCUGUCACUUAUAGAUGGAUCCGCGCUGCAUUAGCUAGUUGGUAAGGUAACGGCUUACCAAGGCAACGAUGCAUAGCCGACCUGAGAGGGUGAUCGGCCACCCUGGAACUGAGACACGGUCCAGCCUCCUACGGGAGGCAGCAGUAGGGAAUCUUCCGCAAUGGGCGAAAGCCUGACGGAGCAACGCCGCGUGAGUGAUGAAGGUCUUCGGAUCGUAAAACUCUGUUAUUAGGGAAGAACAUAUGUGUAAGUAACUGUGCACAUCUUGACGGUACCUAAUCAGAAAGCCACGGCUAACUACGUG
This 497-nucleotide ribosomal RNA is filed under the name uncultured bacterium. RNAcentral describes it as "partial 16S ribosomal RNA". It matches the Rfam family "Bacterial small subunit ribosomal RNA", at positions 28 to 507 of the family's 1533-position model. The record is from RNAcentral.